GAUGAACGCUAGCUACAGGCUUAACACAUGCAAGUCGAGGGGAAACGAUAUUGGAAGCUUGCUUCCGAUAGGCGUCGACCGGCGCACGGGUGAGUAACGCGUAUCCAACCUGCCCAUCACUUGGGGAUAACCUUGCGAAAGUAAGACUAAUACCCAAUGACGUCUCUAGAAGACAUCUGAAAGAGAUUAAAGAUUUAUCGGUGAUGGAUGGGGAUGCGUCUGAUUAGCUUGUUGGCGGGGUAACGGCCCACCAAGGCGACGAUCAGUAGGGGUUCUGAGAGAAGGUCCCCCANAUUGGAACUGAGACACGGUCCAAACUCCUACGGGAGGCAGCAGUGAGGAAUAUUGGUCAAUGGACGAGAGUCUG
This 367-nucleotide ribosomal RNA is filed under the name uncultured bacterium. RNAcentral's name for it is "bacterial SSU rRNA". It matches the Rfam family "Bacterial small subunit ribosomal RNA", at positions 28 to 385 of the family's 1533-position model. The record is from RNAcentral.